CCAUGCUAGAUGGGGAGGUAGCGGUGCCCUGUACCUGCAACCCGCUAUAGCAGGAUUGAAUCCCUGUUCGAGGCUUUUUCCCUGUGGGGUCUGCCCUGGGCAAGUGACGAUGAGGUCCGGGUCUUGCGCAACGGGAAGCUGAAAACCCCGUCAGGUUCGGAAGAAAGCAGCGGUAAUCAGUCCCUCCCGUGUGCCGCAAGGGUGCCUGGGUUGAGCCAACUACCUUGGUUACGCUUGGAGGGAUAAGUCGAAAACAGGUGCAUGG
This 265-nucleotide signal recognition particle RNA is filed under the name Clostridiaceae bacterium. RNAcentral's name for it is "signal recognition particle sRNA large type". It matches the Rfam family "Bacterial large signal recognition particle RNA". Rfam says of the family: The signal recognition particle (SRP) is a universally conserved ribonucleoprotein involved in the co-translational targeting of proteins to membranes. Archaeal SRP consists of a 7S RNA and homologues of the eukaryotic SRP19 and SRP54 proteins. In most bacteria, the SRP consists of a 4.5S RNA and the Ffh protein (a homologue of the eukaryotic SRP54 protein). Lineage: Bacteria; Bacillati; Bacillota; Clostridia; Eubacteriales; Clostridiaceae. The record is from RNAcentral.